Molecule: small nucleolar RNA, 90 nt
Filed under: Chelonia mydas (Green sea turtle)
Lineage: Eukaryota; Metazoa; Chordata; Testudines; Cheloniidae
Source: RNAcentral
GAUCCCCAAUGAUGUCAGCACUGGGCUCUGAACUCCUGUGACGAAAUCAGUGCCUCCUGGGACAAUGACACCCUGGAGACUGAGGGGGCU